This is a long non-coding RNA of Prunus persica (peach), 705 nucleotides long. RefSeq lists it as uncharacterized. NCBI's taxonomy places the organism in Eukaryota, Viridiplantae, Streptophyta, Magnoliopsida, Rosales, Rosaceae. The transcript has 2 exons. The record is from RefSeq and is a predicted model, not a curated record.
UAUAACAAUCUCAUUAUGCCAAUUAAUGGAUCACAGCUAUGGGAGAAGACCAACUAGACAGCAAUAAAGUCACCAGCCUACACUAGACAACCUGGAAGACCUAGAAAGGUGACGAUAAAAGGAGCUGAAGAGAGAAUAGAUAAGACUGUGAAAUAAUGGUUUGGAAGACAAGGAAUGCAAAUGAGGUGUAGUAUUUGUGGCUCAACUGGCCAUAACAAAACCACUCAUCAUCAGAAUCUACCUCAAAAGGAAAAACCCCUUUCAAGGGGUAAAGGAAGACCAAGAAAAAUAUCUAAUCAAGGCCCUGCAGUUGCUGCUGAUAAAGCAAAAACAGCUGUAAGAGUUAGGAGAAAGCUUGUAUAUGCAAGGGCAAAGGCUGCUGCUGCUGCAAAGAAGACUGCACUAAGUGCUUCCUAGCCAAAUGUAGCUGAAAUUGCUGGAAUAGGAUUGAGAGCAUCCAAGAGACAGAGAACAUAGGCUCUUAGUUCUUAGUUCUUAGUUUAUGCAAAUUCCAAUUUAUUUUGAACUAGUACAACUUCUAGUUUUGUGAUGUGGCCUGAUAAGUUUACUUUUGGUAGCUGUUUUAUUGUAUUCCAGAUUAGGUGCUCAUGUUCAUUUUGUAAAUUUGAGCUGCAAAUGUUGGAAAAGUAUGUAUGUAUUUUGAACUCACAAUAUAAUGGAAUUUGCCUUCAAGCAAUUGUUCAA